UGAAACAAGGGAAAACGUUGGCAGCAGUAAAGAAUUUUAUGCAAUAUACGAAAGUAAGACAUAGGCAGAACCUUUUAACCUGUCAAAUUAAGUGCCAGCAGACGCGGUGAAACUUAAGGGUUUGUUUUUUAGAAAAAGCAGAAAGCGUGUAAAGGUAAAACAUUUAAAAUAAAUAGAAUUUUUUUAGUAAUAGUGCAAUAUUAAAAGAAAAAAAAGAAUUUUUUAUGUGAAGACAAUUUAUUUUUUUCUUUAACACGAAGGUUCUGGGAGCAAACAGGAUUAGAGACCCUGGUAGUCGAUACAGUAAAAGAAAGUCGCUUGAGUAGUACGGUCGCAAGAUUAAAAUUCAAAAAACUUGGCUGUUCAUUGUUAUUUAGAGGAGCGCGUUGCUUAAUUCGAUAGCCCGCGAGUUACCUUACCAAAACUAGCUUUUUCAGGUGUUGCAUGGCCGUCGUCAAUUUAUGUUUGAUACAAUAGAUUAAACCCUAGAAAGGUUGAAGUCAGGUAUUAUUGCCUUUAUGUUUUGGGGUUCGAUGCGCUACAUUUUUUUUUUUAAUAAAAAAAAAGAGUUCGGAUUGUCUUUAAAAGAGGAUGAUGAAGGGGGAUUUAAUAGUAAUUGAAAAGUAGAGCGUUUCAAUGAAUUUGCCGCAAUGUUAGUACAAAUUGCCCGUCGCCUCUGCUGAUGGAAACAAAGUA
This 696-nucleotide ribosomal RNA is filed under the name Echinophyllia orpheensis. RNAcentral describes it as "partial 12S ribosomal RNA". It matches the Rfam family "Bacterial small subunit ribosomal RNA", at positions 320 to 1422 of the family's 1533-position model. Lineage: Eukaryota; Metazoa; Cnidaria; Anthozoa; Scleractinia; Lobophylliidae. The record is from RNAcentral.